GCUUCUUACAAAUGCCACCCCCCCCCAAACAAUGCCAAAGGUCAAUCAAGAAGAUAAACAGCCCGCCGUUGAAGACAUAUCUAUGUAACAUUCACGUCCUGAGACUCUGUACUUCUGACAAAUGCAGAAGGAAGAUAUUUCUUGAGAGCGGAGCUCUGACUCUCCAGGUAACUCCUGCGCCUCGCUCACGCUCACGCUCACGCUCACGCCUUCGCCGAAUGCUCCUUCGCCGCAGCCCCAGCGCGGCUCGUCGCUUACCGGCCACCCUCCAGAGCAAGAGUCUGGAGCAAGGAUUGUCAGCGGUCUGCUCCGUCUCUGUCUUACGGCCAGAACCUCUCUUCCCCAGUCUGACCAAGAUGUCUAGGCAGAACGCACCUGAACCUCUCCCGCCGAGUGAGCCCAAUCCUUCGCCUCCGCAACCUGCAGAUCCAGAAUUUAAUCAAGGUACAAUUGAAUUGGCCAAACGAAUUGUAGAAAUUGGAGACAAGCUGUAUUUUGAAUACCUUGUUCGAAACUUGUUGUCCACGAUUUCCGACACAACCUGAAGUUAACUGACAGAUAUGACUUUAACAAUGAAGAUCCCCAGUAUGUUGGAUGUUGUAAAAGAUUUUGAGGGCAAAAUGUGGAAGAAACUAGCUUUUCAGUGAAUGCUGUUAAGGUUUGUUAUAAGCCAUUCUUUUCAACCAUGGAAAGUCAAGAGGAUACUUGGGAACCUGGAGUGUUGCAUUUCAGCAUUUUCAACACUGUUCGGUGGAAAACUAAUGCCCGUAUGAAAUGUUACAUGUCACUUAACAGAUGCAUAUAAAAUGUUUACCUUGAACAAUGUCAAGAUUUAAAACAGGAUUUCUAGUUACAUCUGCAUUAUGUGCAUUAUGACAGAUGAAUGUUUCGAUCUGCAUGCACUACUAUGUAAUUUCCAAUUACAUGUGUAUGGGAAGAACUUGAUUCUUACCAACAAGAAACAUUUCAAGCCUUAUCUGGUUUAUUUGGUUUACAUAGUGAAUUUUACAGGUUUGGUUUCUUUUAGAUGUAAUUAGUACAUGGAUUUGAAAAAUGGUGGGAUCUUUUUGUUUAAACUAUGAUUUGUAAUGUGCCUUCCACUUAUUUAUUUAAUUUAUGGUUAGAAAUUCUUGAUAGCUCAUUUUUGUAUUGAAGGUUAUGCUAUGUGAAGACAUGUAUGACAGUGUUUGGCAUGUUAUUGCAAUAAAGUUAAAUUAAAACCUGGAUUAAUAUAACCA
Molecule: long non-coding RNA, 1238 nt
Filed under: Phascolarctos cinereus (koala)
Lineage: Eukaryota; Metazoa; Chordata; Mammalia; Diprotodontia; Phascolarctidae
Description: lncRNA (ENSPCIG00000020893.2)
Source: RNAcentral